Molecule: non-coding RNA, 92 nt
Organism: Mycena polygramma
Lineage: Eukaryota; Fungi; Basidiomycota; Agaricomycetes; Agaricales; Mycenaceae
Source: the annotation of a GenBank genome assembly
GCCUUCGUGGAUCAUGGUGAUCACCUCAUUCGAGUAAGGACCGAUCCGCAACAUGCAACGAGGAUACGGAGGUUCGAUUCCUCCCGGAGGCG